UGGCUGGCUAAGCAGUGUGGAUACUUCGUAACACAAAAUGGUUUUGUACUUAUCUGCUAAAUAAGCUCUGUGGGUUCAAAUCCCACUGCGUCCCUUUCUACACGCGCGAUCCAGCCUUUUG
RNAcentral lists this vault RNA (121 nucleotides) under Strongylocentrotus purpuratus (purple sea urchin). It matches the Rfam family "Vault RNA". From Rfam's summary of the family: This family of RNAs are found as part of the enigmatic vault ribonucleoprotein complex. The record is from Rfam by way of RNAcentral. Lineage: Eukaryota; Metazoa; Echinodermata; Echinoidea; Camarodonta; Strongylocentrotidae.